UGAUCUCUUUAAAGGGUCGUUCGAGACCAGGACGUUGAUAGGCUGGGUGUGGAAGUGCAGUAAUGCAUUAAGCUAACCAGUACUAAUUGCCCGUAAGGCUUGUCCCUAUAACCUUAGCAGGUUGUA
Molecule: ribosomal RNA, 126 nt
Filed under: Cognatundibacterium jejuense
Lineage: Bacteria; Pseudomonadati; Pseudomonadota; Betaproteobacteria; Burkholderiales; Oxalobacteraceae
Description: partial 23S ribosomal RNA
Rfam family: Bacterial large subunit ribosomal RNA (bases 1-107)
Source: RNAcentral